GUCAGAGGGAGGAUGAGGAGGUGCUUGACGGUGAGGAUGAAGAGCAGAGGAGGAGCAGCAGAGAGGCAUUUCUGAAGAUCACAAUGCACUUCCUGAGGAGAAUGAAGCAGGAGGAGCUGGCUGACCAUCUGCAGAACAGAAAUUCUGCUGCAGGUGGUUAACUUAAACUCAAAUCUAAA
Long non-coding RNA from Perca fluviatilis (European perch), 179 nucleotides. RefSeq lists it as uncharacterized. The transcript is spliced from 2 exons. The record is from RefSeq and is a predicted model, not a curated record. NCBI's taxonomy places the organism in Eukaryota, Metazoa, Chordata, Actinopteri, Perciformes, Percidae.